AUGCUCUCCGUCACCUUCUGCGCCAGCUCCGGGGGCGUGGACGGCGAGCCAGCCACGGCCACCAGCCGUCGGCCGUGCGCGCGCAUCGCCCGGGCGGCGAACGACACGACGUUCGGGCGAGAUGGCAGCGUGGCCGGGGGCUGCGCAACGGUUCUGGGAGCCGGAAAGGUGGCCAUGAAGGCCAUGGUGGUGAUGGUGGCCAUGGCUUCCCACUUGGUUCGCAGUAGGGUGGAAGAGAAGGUUUUGGUUGGGGUCUGGCCGUUUAGGUUACGCCAUUUUUAUGUGGCUCUCUGCUCCUUAUCGUUUGGGGGCCAAUCCCGUUGUGACAGAUCAGCCUUGGCAGAUUUCCUUUCUAGAAGAUAUUUAUCAAUCGGGUGUGUCUAG
This 384-nucleotide ribosomal RNA is filed under the name Triticum aestivum (bread wheat). RNAcentral's name for it is "partial small subunit ribosomal RNA". The record is from RNAcentral. Lineage: Eukaryota; Viridiplantae; Streptophyta; Magnoliopsida; Poales; Poaceae.